GACGAACGCUGGCGGCGUGCUUAACACAUGCAAGUCGAACGGAAAGGCCCUGCUUGCAGGGUACUCGAGUGGCGAACGGGUGAGUAACACGUGGGUGAUCUGCCCUGCACUUCGGGAUAAGCCUGGGAAACUGGGUCUAAUACCGGAUAGGAGCCAUUUUUAGUGUGAUGGUUGGAAAGUUUUUUCGGUGUAGGAUGAGCUCGCGGCCUAUCAGCUUGUUGGUGGGGUAAUGGCCUACCAAGGCGGCGACGGGUAGCCGGCCUGAGAGGGUGGACGGCCACCUUGGGACUGAGAUACGGCCCAGACUCCGACGGGAGGCAGCAGUGGGGAAUAUUGCACAAUGGGCGCAAGCCUGAUGCAGCGACGCCGCGUGGGGGAUGACGGCCUUCGGGUUGUAAACUCCUUUCGCUAGGGACGAAGCUUUUUGUGACGGUACCUAGAUAAGAAGCACCGGCUAACUACGUG
This 465-nucleotide ribosomal RNA is filed under the name uncultured bacterium. RNAcentral describes it as "partial 16S ribosomal RNA". It matches the Rfam family "Bacterial small subunit ribosomal RNA", at positions 28 to 507 of the family's 1533-position model. The record is from RNAcentral.